This 208-nucleotide long non-coding RNA is filed under the name Mytilus galloprovincialis (Mediterranean mussel). Lineage: Eukaryota; Metazoa; Mollusca; Bivalvia; Mytilida; Mytilidae. The record is from RNAcentral.
CGACAACCACCCGACCAUAGUGCAGACAACAGCCGAAGGCAACCAAUGGGUCUUCAAUGUAGCGAAAAUUCCCGCACCCGUAGGUGUCCUUCAGCUGCUGCUGGCCCCUAAAAAUAUGCAUAAUAGUGCAGUGAUAAUGGACGUCAUACUAAACUCCGAAUUAUACACAAGAAACUAAAAUUUAAAAUCAUACAAGACUAACAAAGGC